This 255-nucleotide ribosomal RNA is filed under the name uncultured bacterium. RNAcentral's name for it is "partial 16S ribosomal RNA". It matches the Rfam family "Bacterial small subunit ribosomal RNA", at positions 28 to 255 of the family's 1533-position model. The record is from RNAcentral.
GUUGAACGCUGGCGGCGUGCCUAACACAUGCAAGUCGAGCGGUAACAGGUGUAGCAAUACACGCUGACGAGCGGCGAACGGGUAGAGUAAUGCUUUGGGAAUCUUCCCAGUAGUGGGAAUAACCAGUCGAAGAUUGGCUAAUACCGCAUACGUCCCUUCUUCGAAAGGAGAGGGGGGAAAGCGGGGGACUCGCCUCUCUUCGGAAGAGAGGCCUCGCGCUAUUGGAUGAGCCAAAGCGGAUUAGCUAGUUGGUGA